CCCCGGUGCAGUACAGUGUACAGUUUAGCAGUUACACCCCGGUGCAGUACAGUGUACAGUUUAGCAGUUACACCCCGGUGCAGUACAGUGUACAGUUUAGCCGUCACACCCCGGUGCAGUACAGUGUACAGUUUAGCCGUCACACCCCGGUGCAGUACAGUGUACAGUUUAGCCGUCACACCCCGGUGCAGUACAGUGUACAGUUUAGCCGUUACACCCAGGUGCAGUAGUGUACAGUUUAGCCGUUACACCCCGGUGCAGUACAGUGUACAGUUUAGCCGUUACACCCCGGUGCAGUACAGUGUACAGUUUAGCCGUUACACCCCGGUGCAGUACAGUGUACUGUUUAGCCGUUACACCCCGGUGCAGUACAGUGUACAGUUUAGC
This is a long non-coding RNA of Oncorhynchus tshawytscha (Chinook salmon), 387 nucleotides long. NCBI's taxonomy places the organism in Eukaryota, Metazoa, Chordata, Actinopteri, Salmoniformes, Salmonidae. The record is from Ensembl.